RNAcentral lists this ribosomal RNA (277 nucleotides) under uncultured bacterium. Its description in RNAcentral is "partial 16S ribosomal RNA". It matches the Rfam family "Bacterial small subunit ribosomal RNA", at positions 30 to 306 of the family's 1533-position model. The record is from RNAcentral.
AUUGAACGCUGGCGGCACGCUUAACACAUGCAAGUCGAACGGUAACAGGCCCUUCGGGGUGCUGACGAGUGGCGGACGGGUGAGUAAUGCUUAGGAAUCUGCCUAGUAGUGGGGGAUAACCCGGGGAAACUCGGGCUAAUACCGCAUACGCCCUACGGGGAAAGGCGGGGACGUUUCGGCCGUCGCGCUAUUAGAUGAGCCUAAGUCCGAUUAGCUAGUUGGUAGGGUAAGUGGCCUACCAAGGCGACGANCGGUAGCUGGUCUGAGAGGACGACCA